Molecule: ribosomal RNA, 504 nt
Filed under: uncultured bacterium
Lineage: Bacteria
Description: partial 16S ribosomal RNA
Rfam family: Bacterial small subunit ribosomal RNA
Source: RNAcentral
AUUGAACGCUGGCGGCAGGCCUAACACAUGCAAGUCGAACGGUAGCACAGAGAGCUUGCUCUCGGGUGACGAGUGGCGGACGGGUGAGUAAUGUCUGGGAAACUGCCCGAUGGAGGGGGAUAACUACUGGAAACGGUAGCUAAUACCGCAUAACGUCGCAAGACCAAAGUGGGGGACCUUCGGGCCUCACACCAUCGGAUGUGCCCAGAUGGGAUUAGCUAGUAGGUGGGGUAAUGGCUCACCUAGGCGACGAUCCCUAGCUGGUCUGAGAGGAUGACCAGCCACACUGGAACCGAGACACGGUCCAGACUCCUACGGGAGGCAGCAGUGGGGAAUAUUGCACAAUGGGCGCAAGCCUGAUGCAGCCAUGCCGCGUGUAUGAAGAAGGCCUUCGGGUUGUAAAGUACUUUCAGCGGGGAGGAAGGCGGUGAAGUUAAUAACUUCACCGAUUGACGUUACCCGCAGAAGAAGCACCGGCUAACUCCGUGCCAGCCGCCGCGGUAA